UACGGGAGGCAGCAGUGGGGGAUAUUGCACAAUGGGGGGAACCCUGAUGCAGCGACGCCGCGUGAGUGAAGAAGUAUUUCGGUAUGUAAAGCUCUAUCAGCAGGGAAGAAAGGCCCAUUAUGGGAGAUGACGGUACCUGACUAAGAAGCCCCGGCUAACUACGUGCCAGCAGCCGCGGUAAU
RNAcentral lists this ribosomal RNA (182 nucleotides) under uncultured rumen bacterium. RNAcentral describes it as "partial 16S ribosomal RNA". It matches the Rfam family "Bacterial small subunit ribosomal RNA", at positions 340 to 524 of the family's 1533-position model. The record is from RNAcentral.